CGAUUGAAAUUUGGUUAUUGGUGAUAUAAAACACUCAGAAUAGUUUGGUGAUGGCUCUCUUGUAUGAAGUGAGACAUUUGACACCAUUGAAUGUUCCCUUCUCUUUUCUAAUUAUUAAAGAUCGGUUAUAUAGGAUGAUAAGAAAGUGCUUGGUGAUGCCUCUCUUUAAUGUACUAAGACAUUUACCGCCAUUGGAAUUUCCUUUUAUUUUU
This 212-nucleotide long non-coding RNA is filed under the name Eucalyptus grandis. RNAcentral describes it as "long non-coding RNA (EGRA_LNC000134)". Lineage: Eukaryota; Viridiplantae; Streptophyta; Magnoliopsida; Myrtales; Myrtaceae. The record is from RNAcentral.